AGAGUUUGAUCCUGGCUCAGAUUGAACGCUGGCGGCAUGCUUUACACAUGCAAGUCGAUCGGCAGCGCGGACUUCGGUCUGGCGGCGAGUGACGAACGGGUGAGUAAUGUGUCGGAACGUGCCAAGUAAUGGGGGAUAACGCAGCGAAAGUUGUGCUAAUACCGCAUACGCUCUGAGGAGGAAAGCGGGGGACCUUCGGGCCUCGCGUUAUUUGAGCGGCCGACAUCUGAUUAGCUAGUUGGUAGGGUAAAGGCCUACCAAGGCGACGAUCAGUAGCGGGUCUGAGAGGAUGAUCCGCCACACUGGGACUGAGACACGGCCCAGACUCCUACGGGAGGCAGCAGUGGGGAAUUUUGGACAAUGGGGGCAACCCUGAUCCAGCCAUUCCGCGUGUCUGAAG
RNAcentral lists this ribosomal RNA (400 nucleotides) under uncultured bacterium. Its description in RNAcentral is "bacterial SSU rRNA". It matches the Rfam family "Bacterial small subunit ribosomal RNA", at positions 8 to 410 of the family's 1533-position model. The record is from RNAcentral.